MicroRNA precursor from Bison bison bison, 63 nucleotides. Lineage: Eukaryota; Metazoa; Chordata; Mammalia; Artiodactyla; Bovidae. The record is from Ensembl.
UUAGCAAUGCAGACUCCAGGGCCCUUUGGUUGAGCUCCGGGGCCCGAGAGUCAGCAUUGUUAA